UACGUAGGUGGCAAGCGUUGUCCGGAUUUACUGGGCGUAAAGAGCGCGCAGGCGGUCGUUCAAGUCGCGUGUGAAAGCCCCCGGCUCAACUGGGGAGGGUCACGCGAUACUGAUCGACUCGAAGGCAGGAGAGGGUAGUGGAAUUCCCGGUGUAGUGGUGAAAUGCGUAGAUUUCGGGAGGAACACCAGUGGCGAAGGCGACUACCUGGCCUGUUCUUGACGCUGAGGCGCGAAAGCUAGGGGAGCAAACGGG
This 253-nucleotide ribosomal RNA is filed under the name uncultured bacterium. Its description in RNAcentral is "partial 16S ribosomal RNA". It matches the Rfam family "Bacterial small subunit ribosomal RNA", at positions 524 to 776 of the family's 1533-position model. The record is from RNAcentral.